GUGGGCUUGACAGUGGAGCUGUCACUGUAUCUGGGCUGAGAACUGAAGCCGAACUUGGGAGAACUUGGGGAAGCAUGGGUGGAAUGGAGCGAGCGGGCUCUAACAAUCAUCAGGAGACAGGAAUUGAAACAAAUUAUCAUUGAGUCCCAUUGGGAAGCAGGCAUUAACCAUGUAAUCGCUCCAGCUCACCAGAUGUACAACACUCAGGACCUCCUCCACAUAUUGUUCCAAAGGCCAUCCAUCCUGCUGAAUGUUCCAAAUUAACUCCUCAGCCCAGUUCAUACUUUGCUUGGUCCGGUGUUCUGUCACGGUGCUACGGUGAUGAGUUGAGGAAUGUGAAGACGACGCCCAGUGUCAGUGAAGAUGGUGUGGACAGGAAUUCUGCUGUUUAUGGGAAAUCUGAAGGAACAUCUCCCAGCAUUCUACCACAUGUUGCCCUGAUGAUUGAGGAAUUUUUUCGGACUUUCCUGCCUCUUUGGAACAUUUCCGUUCACACAGACUGUGGAGAGAUGGUGUGCAGCUUCAUGAUGUGAAGUUUAGUGCCGAUGGAGAGCUUCUGGGACAUUGACAGACAGCACUUUCCAGCAAGUUCAUUUUGAGUUCUUUUUUUUUUUUAUUAAUUAAUUUAUUUAUUUAUUUAGUCAAACUUACAUUCACUAAUGCUGGAGUAACCUUUUAGAAGAAAACUUUCAGUCCUGUUUAAUGUUGGUGCUAGUAAAUGUUUGAGAACUAAUGGCCUGGUUUCACAGACAGGGCUUAGACUAAGCCAGGAUCAUAGUUCAAUAAGGACAUUAAGUAAUUUUCAUUAACAUGCCUUAGAAAAAACAUUACUGGCUUGCAUCUUGAGACAAAACAAAGGCACUGGUAUUUUUAAAGAUCAGUCAGUGCAAUUUUCUAUCAGUUGAAACAGCUCAGAAUUACAUUUUAGUCUGGGGCUGGUCUUAAGCCUUGUCUGUGAAACCAGGGGUACAAGUAACCCACUUUGGUAAUGUUUUACAAUAAGGUCUCAUUUGUUGUACAAAAUGAUAAUUUUCUUUAUUUUUUUGUAUUAAGUGUGUGUCUGU
Cyprinus carpio (common carp) is the source of this 1064-nucleotide long non-coding RNA. The record is from Ensembl. Lineage: Eukaryota; Metazoa; Chordata; Actinopteri; Cypriniformes; Cyprinidae.